CUUUUACGUCGGAACUUGGGAGCAGAUCAUAGCUGCUAGGUUAAGAAAUUGAUUCUCCCGCAGAAACAAUGGAUUUCGGUGUAGCGGAACUGUUACGUGGAGAUGCUAAGGUAAUUGUUGAGAGCUUAGUUUUAAGUUGAAGGAAUAAACCUGUUGAUUUACAGGUUGAUCAACCUGUAAAGAUGAUGCAUCAUUUGUAUUUUUGUUUUUUAACAGCAUUCUGCAGGUUGAUGAAUACUAAUGAAGCUGUGGAUGUCACUGAGCAGCUUCAUUUUAAAGUAAGUUACCCUGACUUACAUCUGCUGCAGUAAUUCUGUCUGGUUUGUGGUAAAUGUCCGUGUAAUGUAGCAUAAUGGAUUUUGGUCUGAUCAAUGAUGAACCCUAUCCCGAAGCUGAUAACCUGAAGAAAA
Molecule: long non-coding RNA, 410 nt
Filed under: Bos taurus (domestic cattle)
Lineage: Eukaryota; Metazoa; Chordata; Mammalia; Artiodactyla; Bovidae
Description: long non-coding RNA NONBTAT025593
Source: RNAcentral